RNAcentral lists this ribosomal RNA (628 nucleotides) under Haladaptatus sp. RNAcentral describes it as "bacterial SSU rRNA". It matches the Rfam family "Archaeal small subunit ribosomal RNA", at positions 183 to 810 of the family's 1478-position model. Lineage: Archaea; Methanobacteriati; Methanobacteriota; Halobacteria; Halobacteriales; Haladaptataceae. The record is from RNAcentral.
AGCCGGAAACGCUCCGGCGCUAUAGGAUGUGGCUGCGGCCGAUUAGGUAGACGGUGGGGUAACGGCCCACCGUGCCGAUAAUCGGUACGGGUUGUGAGAGCAAGAGCCCGGAGAUGGAUUCUGAGACAAGAAUCCAGGCCCUACGGGGCGCAGCAGGCGCGAAAACUUUACACUGCACGACAGUGCGAUAAGGGAACUCCAAGUGCGAGGGCAUAACGUCCUCGCUUUUGUGUAUCGUAAGGAGGUACACGAAUAAGAGCUGGGCAAGACCGGUGCCAGCCGCCGCGGUAAUACCGGCAGCUCAAGUGAUGGCCAAUUUUAUUGGGCCUAAAGCGUCCGUAGCCGGCCAGACAGGUCCGUCGGGAAAUCUGCUCGCUCAACGAGCAGGCGUCCGACGGAAACCCGCUGGCUUGGGACCAGAAGACUCGAGGGGUACGUCUGGGGUAGGAGUGAAAUCCUGUAAUCCUAGACGGACCACCGAUCGCGAAAGCACCUCGAGAGGAUGGAUCCGACGGUGAGGGACGAAAGCUAGGGUCACGAACCGGAUUAGAUACCCGGGUAGUCCUAGCUGUAAACGAUGCUCGCUAGGUGUGGCACAGGCUACGAGCCUGUGCUAUGCCGUAGGGAA